GUGAGAUAAGGGCAAACCGGAGCAAUCCGGCGACUCAAAGCCACGGGUCCCCUGCAGCGGGGACAGCCGGGUUACCGAA
RNAcentral lists this non-coding RNA (79 nucleotides) under Geobacter sp. RNAcentral describes it as "c-di-GMP sequence". It matches the Rfam family "c-di-GMP-I riboswitch aptamer". Rfam says of the family: GEMM was predicted in a large-scale screen for bacterial structured RNA regulatory elements. Genes associated with GEMM are involved in a diverse array of functions, including chemotaxis regulation, signal transduction, secretion and chitin. The record is from RNAcentral. Lineage: Bacteria; Pseudomonadati; Thermodesulfobacteriota; Desulfuromonadia; Geobacterales; Geobacteraceae.